Molecule: long non-coding RNA, 390 nt
Organism: Bubalus bubalis (water buffalo)
Lineage: Eukaryota; Metazoa; Chordata; Mammalia; Artiodactyla; Bovidae
Exons: 3
Source: RefSeq, a predicted model, not a curated record
UAAAAGGGCAAAGAGCUGCUCAGGCUGGUCUGUCUGUGGGUCAAAGUCCAUCGCAUUUCUGAUGAUGUCCACAGCCUGCAUGUUCCAUCGGGGAUCCAGAGGGAUCACGGAUUCAUCUGGUUUAAGGAACAAAAGAAAAGGAUACGCUGCUGCCACCUCUGCUCCUUUGGCUCAAACUUGGUAUCAGAAUCUCUGUACAGCAGCAGCCAUCAGACUCUGACCUGUUCCUGAGGUGGAGAUUCCAGUGGAAGGAGGCAGCUGAGUAUGAAUGAUGGACCCAGAAUCAAGAAGCCCAUCUGUGGCCAAGUUGGGACUGGAGCCUAGACUUCCAACUCCUGUGUUCUUCCCACUACCCUGUGUCAUCAUCCUUUAUCAGAAACUGGAGAAUCA